AAGAAGAAAAGGAGGAGGAGGAGGCUUCCACCUCGACAUAUAUGCGGUGAAACCGCGCGCCUCCUGACUCAGUGCUUGACAGGCUAGCAAGCUUUAAGGAUCUAUAAAAAGAGAUAGACACCACGAGGAGAUCAGCGUAUCUCACUCACUCUAUUAGUUACCUCCGAGGAGGGUAUCCUAUUCUUGUCACUGGGAGCAUCAUCUCGAGUCUGACGUAAUAUAGGGAAAGAACGAUUUAAGGAGGAAGGAUCGAAGGAAGAAAUCACGAUCGAUAAAAUCGCGAAGGUCGAGCGUGUUGGUGGUGGUAUCGUUGCGAGUGGAACUGGAGAAAGAGGAAAAA
Long non-coding RNA from Polistes canadensis, 340 nucleotides. RefSeq lists it as uncharacterized. The transcript is spliced from 2 exons. The record is from RefSeq and is a predicted model, not a curated record. NCBI's taxonomy places the organism in Eukaryota, Metazoa, Arthropoda, Insecta, Hymenoptera, Vespidae.